GCCGCCGCCGCCUGCGUUCUUCCCCAUCCGCCGCCGCCGCCCCCAUCCUCCGCCCCCAGCUGCACCUAGCCGUCGCUCCUCCCGCACAGCCGCACUCGCACCGCCCCCUUCCUCUUCCUCUCGCCUCACCUCUCUCUCCUUCCAAACCACCUCCCGGCCUCGCCUCUUCCUUCCUUCUCCUCCGGCGCCUCCUCCCCGUUGGCUCCUUCUUGCCCCUCCUCCGCCGGUCCUCCUUCUCCUACGUCACCCGGAGGGGUGCAGCUGCCGCUUGCGUUGUAGCUCCCCCUACGAGCUCGCGCGCCUGAUCCGACGGCAGGAAGCCGCACAGCCUGGCGACCAGGAGCUCCCCGGCGUGGUUCCCUGGAUGGAGGGAUGCUUCCUCCGUCACUGCCUUCUCCAUGCCGAUGCCAUCAGUAGCGGCGGCGGUCGGGCUGAUGCGACGCGGCUGCAAGCUCAUCGUGAGAGCAACGGCAACGACGAGCUCACCACUCCUUCUUGCUGCGCCUGCUAGACCUCCAGGACAACUUGGAACAACUUGUGUGUCCCUCUCAGAUUCCUACAGAAGAAAGGAUACAUUUUCUUUUCUAUUGGAUGGACAACAACAUAACCACAACAAUAGGUCUAUCAGAAGAAGCAGGAGCGAAGCAAAGGCAGGAUUCCAUGAUGAGUUUGGAGUUUACCCUCUGUUCUUGGAAAUUGAAAUUGUCUCUCAUGCGAGCGGCGACCUUUUCUUAGCCAUGCUUAAAUUGAAAGAUGUAGUAGCUGAACAAGACUAGGAUCAUGUUUACGAUGCAUUUUCCAUCGAUACAGAGUGGCAUGCCGCUCCAAGCCACUCCGCUUUCCAUCAACGCUGACAACCACAGCAGGGGUGGAUCCAGCCGACAAGAGGCAGAGCGGCGGUCAACGGUGGUGGCCUGCUCCCAAGCUGCAGUGCUUUGGAGAAGAUGAACAUGAGGCCCCAACCUGCACUGGCAUAGCUAGGCAGGGGAGUAUCCUUCCACUUGACAUUUCCUUCUCAGUUUUGUAUGUUUAAUUUUUAGAGCCGUGGUUACUCUGAAAACUGAGAUGUGGAGAUUGCGGUAUUGAUCUUAGUUCAAUCCAUUCUAUUACGUAGCCUCGCUUUGUUAUCCAUGAUUUCCCUCAUUUGAUUGAUUUGACACAUGUUCAUUCACUAGAUUAUAGUCUACUUCGUGUAUUUAGUUCUAGGUUGUUUUGAUCUAAGUGGUACUUGAUUUCUUGGCAUUGUUCAUUGCCUCGAGCCAUGUCUGAUACUGAAUUUGACCAUGAUCCUCUUGUAGUAAAUAUGACUUAUUUGCUCUCUAUUGGAAUAUUUCUUUUCACAUAUUGCUAGCUCCUUAGGUGUAAUGUUGUUUAAAAUAUUUGUCCUGGAGCUCCUUUGCUCCUGUUCUUGGUGUAGAUAAACCAAAACUGCUCCUUUUAGGCCAUCCAAGAGUCUUAAACGACCAACAUUGUAAUUAGCAUAUGUGGACAGUUACGCUACAAUGCCCCCAAUUGUUUUUCAGUGAUAACUCUUGCUCCAAAUUUUGCUUUUCGGGAGGUGGUUGAGGUAGAGAUUGUUGUGUUGUGGCAGGGCACACUACGGUGCCGGGUUGCAUAGGGGCAUGCCCUUUCUUAGUAUUCAAAUAUCAUGUACUAAUUGUGUUUUCACUUUGUAUUGCUUACUCACAGAUGUCACCGGAAGCGUCAUGGUUUUUUCUUAAGCUCACCAAAUAUUUCUCUUCAUAUUUUGUAUGUCUGACAACUUCCCGUUACACAGUUCCGCUUUUGGCUGGACAAGCUGUCUACUCUCUGGUCUAUUCUUAAAUAGGCAUGUUGGUCUUUUCUAACAUAACCAGCCUGCCAUUUCUAUUACUCGCAGAACAUUUCACUUUCUGUCAAUAAGCAUUUAUCUCUAUGCUAACUUGGUGUAAAGUAGCCUUGAUGAUGUGUGGAGGCGGUCUGCUCAGUGUAAGAACAAAUAGUUGGUGGCUCCCAUUUUUAUCUCAUUUCGUAAAUCAGUGUAAGGACUGUUAGUAAGGUUGAUCAUCGGCAAGCGAAAGUGCUUCGUGGAUGCUUGCACGACCAAGCCCUUCAAGCUCCCAGAGUGCAAACACCAUGAGAUAGGGAUGUGAAACUGAAGGAAAGAAGGCCCUGACCACUCUCAUCAUUUACUCAAGUAAUAACACUUAUCGGCGAUAGGAACGACAAGUUGACGCAGGGACAGCUUUUGGGAGUUGGUCCAAACUUAAUGCAUUCAUGGGAUCACCAAUUUUUGGCGAUGGUUGAGAUUGGAUCGUUUCUUGGUGGCUGCUAAUGAAUCAUGUAAGGAUGGCGCAGAAUUCACCAGAGGAAAAAGACCGAACUACGGAGUUUCCCCAUUGUUAGAGCUCUUGGUGCCCGGACAAGCCCUCUAUCUCGAUUCUCCCUUCGCAGCUCAGCUCCACCGACCAGAUGGCGAUGGCUGACAAAGAGCUCGAUGUCCAUGGCUCGUCAGGUUCCGCUGGCUCCACUAACAACCGUCUACGGACGCUUGCACAGGAUACCAAGCGAGUGUUUAGGAUCCCACACCGGGCAUUUCUUGACAUGCUCCUAGCACACCUUACGCUAAUCACCGGCUUAGUAUGAUCGUGUUGUACAUGACGACGGCAAGAUUGUGUGACCAUCUUUUUCAACACCUCUACAUUGGAUCUUGGAGGACCAAUCAGUAUGAACGCGUCGUGUCGUCAUUCCUCCUGGUCUACAUUAUGCCCAAGACAUGCAAAGUUGUGGAUUGUCUGUAAGCUACCAUGUGCUUUUGUACGUCCUAUGCCUGUGAUAUUUGCUACUAAACCUAUUGUGCUACGUGCUUUCUAUGUUCAUACAUUGUUAGGUGGCUCCUUAUUGUGUGCAUACAAACAAACCUUACUUCUGAAUGAUUCUUUGUUAGUUUUUUAUUUUUAUCA
Molecule: non-coding RNA, 2942 nt
Organism: Triticum urartu
Lineage: Eukaryota; Viridiplantae; Streptophyta; Magnoliopsida; Poales; Poaceae
Source: RefSeq, a predicted model, not a curated record